Potamilus streckersoni is the source of this 73-nucleotide non-coding RNA. The record is from the annotation of a GenBank genome assembly. NCBI's taxonomy places the organism in Eukaryota, Metazoa, Mollusca, Bivalvia, Unionida, Unionidae.
GAUCCGGUGGCCUAGUGGUUAGAGCGCCCGCCUCGGAUGCGGGAGGUCGUGGGUCCGAUCCUCGGCCGAGUUA